CCUACGGGUGGCAGCAGUAAGGAAUAUUGCUCAAUGGGGGAGACCCUGAAGCAGCAACGUCGCGUGGAGGAUGACGGUUUUCGGAUUGUAAACUCCUUUUGUUAGAGAAGAUAAUGACGGUAUCUAACGAAUAAGCACCGGCUAACUCCGUGCCAGCAUCCGCGGUCAUAGGGAGGGUGCACGCGUUACUCGGAAUCACUGGGCGUAAAUAGCGGGUAGGCGGGAUAGCAAGUCAGAUGUGAAAUCCUAUGGGUUAAACAUAGAACUGCAGUUGAAACUGUUAUUCUAGAGUAUGGGAGAGGUAGGUGGAAUUCGUGGUGUAGGGGUAAAAUCCGUAGAGAUCAAGAGGAAUACUCAUUGCGAAGGCGGCCUGCUAGCACAUAACUGACGCUGAUGCGCGAAAGCGUGGGGAGCAAACAGGAUUAGAUACCCUGGUAGUC
This 440-nucleotide ribosomal RNA is filed under the name uncultured bacterium. Its description in RNAcentral is "partial 16S ribosomal RNA". It matches the Rfam family "Bacterial small subunit ribosomal RNA", at positions 338 to 795 of the family's 1533-position model. The record is from RNAcentral.